CCUACGGGAGGCAGCAGUGGGGAAUAUUGCACAAUGGGGGAAACCCUGAUGCAGCGACGCCGCGUGAGUGAAGAAGUAUUUCGGUAUGUAAAGCUCUAUCAGCAGGGAAGAAAAUGACGGUACCUGUUUAAGAAGCCCCGGCUAACUAUGUGCCAGCAGCCGCGGUAAUACGUAGGGGGCAAGCGUUAUCCGGAUUUACUGGGUGUAAAGGGAGCGUAGACGGCAGCACAAGUCUGGAGUGAAAUGCCGGGGCUUAACCCCGGAACUGCUUUGGAAACUGUGCAGCUAGAGUGCAGGAGAGGUAAGUGGAAUUCCUAGUGUAGCGGUGAAAUGCGUAGAUAUUAGGAGGAACACCAGUGGCGAAGGCGGCUUACUGGACUGUAACUGACGUUGAGGCUCGAAAGCGUGGGGAGCAAACAGGAUUAGAUACCCUAGUAGUC
Molecule: ribosomal RNA, 440 nt
Filed under: uncultured bacterium
Lineage: Bacteria
Description: partial 16S ribosomal RNA
Rfam family: Bacterial small subunit ribosomal RNA
Source: RNAcentral